Molecule: ribosomal RNA, 419 nt
Filed under: bacterium
Lineage: Bacteria
Description: partial 16S ribosomal RNA
Rfam family: Bacterial small subunit ribosomal RNA
Source: RNAcentral
UGGGGGAUAUUGCACAAUGGGCGAAAGCCUGAUGCAGCGACGCCGCGUGGGGGAUGAAGGCCUUCGGGUUGUAAACUUCUUUUGCUCUGAACAAGGCAUGCUAAUGGGUGUGUUGAGUGUAGGGGUUGAUUAGCGCCGGCUAACUACGUGCCAGCAGCCGCGGUAAUACGUAGGGCGCGAGCGUUGUCCGGAAUUAUUGGGCGUAAAGGGCUUGUAGGUGGCUGGUUGCGUCUGUCGUGAAAGCUCAUGGCUUAACUGUGGGUUUGCGGUGGGUACGGGCUGGCUUGAGUGCAGUAGGGGAGGCUGGAAUUCCUGGUGUAGCGGUGGAAUGCGCAGAUAUCAGGAGGGAUACCGGUGGCGAAGGCGGGUCUCUGGGCUGUUACUGACACUGAGGAGCGAAAGCAUGGGGAGCGAACAGG